ACUCCUACGGGAGGCAGCAGUGGGGAAUAUUGCACAAUGGGCGCAAGCCUGAUGCAGCCAUGCCGCGUGUGUAAGAGGCCUCGGGUUGUAAGNACUUUCAGUCGUGAGGAAGGUAGUGUAGUUAAUAGCUGCAUUAUUUGACGUUAGCGACAGAAGAAGCACCGGCUAACUCCGUGCCAGCAGCCGCGGUAAUACGGAGGGUGCGAGCGUUAAUCGGAAUUACUGGGCGUAAAGCGCAUGCAGGUGGUUUGUUAAGUCAGAUGUGAAAGCCCGGGGCUC
RNAcentral lists this ribosomal RNA (279 nucleotides) under uncultured bacterium. Its description in RNAcentral is "partial 16S ribosomal RNA". It matches the Rfam family "Bacterial small subunit ribosomal RNA", at positions 335 to 610 of the family's 1533-position model. The record is from RNAcentral.